Pyrenochaeta sp. DS3sAY3a is the source of this 82-nucleotide transfer RNA. It matches the Rfam family "tRNA". Rfam says of the family: Transfer RNA (tRNA) molecules are approximately 80 nucleotides in length. Their secondary structure includes four short double-helical elements and three loops (D, anti-codon, and T loops). The record is from Rfam. Lineage: Eukaryota; Fungi; Ascomycota; Dothideomycetes; Pleosporales; Cucurbitariaceae.
GGCGUGGUGGCGGAGUGGUCUAUCGCGCAAGACUUGAAAUCUUGUUCCUUUGGGAGCGUGAGUUCGAAUCUCACCCGCGUCG